Molecule: ribosomal RNA, 782 nt
Filed under: cyanobacterium enrichment culture clone C_4_D.2.6_C07-T7
Lineage: Bacteria; Bacillati; Cyanobacteriota
Description: bacterial SSU rRNA
Rfam family: Bacterial small subunit ribosomal RNA
Source: RNAcentral
GGCUCAGGAUGAACGCUGGCGGUAUGCCUUACACAUGCAAGUCGAACGGAAAUUAGCUUCGGUUAAUUUUAGUGGCGGACGGGUGAGUAACACGUGAGAAUUCGCCUUUAGGAGGGGGUUAACGGAUGGAAACAUUCGCUAAAACCCCAUAUGCCCCUGGGUGAAACAGAGGAGAUAAGUAAUACUGACUCACCUCUGCCUGAAGAGAAGCUCGCGGCUGAUUAGCUAGUUGGUAGGGUAAAGGCCUACCAAGGCGACGAUCAGUAGCUGGUCUGAGAGGACGAUCAGCCACACUGGAACUGAGACACGGUCCAGACUCCUACGGGAGGCAGCAGUGAGGAAUUUUCUGCAAUGGGCGAAAGCCUGACAGAGCAAUACCGCGUGAGGGAUGAAGACUUACUGAGUUGUAAACCUCGGUGCCUUAAGGAAGAAGAUCUGACGGUACUUAAGGUGGAAAGCAUCGGCUAACUCCGUGCCAGCAGCCGCGGUAAGACGGGGGAUGCAAGUGUUAUCCGGAUUUACUGGGCGUAAAGCGUCUGCAGGUGGUUUCUUAAGUCUACUGUUAAAUCUUGAGGCUCAACCUCAAAUCUGCAGUAGAAACUAGGAGACUUGAGUAUAGUAGGGGUAGAGGGAAUUUCCAGUGGAGCGGUGAAAUGCGUAGAUAUUGGAAAGAACACCGAUGGCGAAGGCACUCUACUGGGCUAUUACUGACACUCAGAGACGAAAGCUAGGGGAGCAAAUGGGAUUAGAUACCCCAGUAGUCCUAGCCGUAAACGAUGGAU